UACGUAGACAAUUCAAGCACUACUUUCUUUCCUGUUUUUCCAGAUCAAAUGCUCCUAAAUCAUCAUGAUGAAGAAGAUAUUAUGGGAUGCAUCUUAAACAAAGUGCUGAACACAGUCUGAGUGACUGCAAGUUCAGGGAAACUUCCUGCUGAGACUUCACUUAGACCAACUGAUAUCUUCUGCCUGCCUGGAGAAAACCUUUGUCCUCGAGCCUGAAGGCACUUAAAAGUAAGCCUGUUUGGUCUGCCCCUAUUAACCAGCAGUACUGAGAGAGAAAAUCGCUUUUCCCUAGUGUUCAGCACUUGAGAGCCACAGGAUUGAGACUGUUUAUUCAGACUGCUUGGUUCUUUGGUAUCAUCCAAUGGGACAGGCUGAGUCACUACUUGACUGAUUUCUCUUCACGUGAAGGUUUCAGCACCUUUGCACUGCUGUGAAUCCCAAGCAAUGAUCCUGGUUUGUCCUGACAGCAACCCCCAUGCUUCAUUGGACUUCCUGGACUGGUGGUCAGAGAAGCUACUCCCCUGGGCUCUGAACUCCUCUGCUUGAGAUGAUGGGGGAAGGCAUCAGCACAGCUGCCAGAUGGCACCACCUGGGAGAUUUUAUGUUACUUUUUGUACUGCCUUUUCUCAACAGGCAAGCCCUUGGGGCAGAUAAGGAUGCAUUAAGUGACUGAAAGACAUGCAGUUGUCUCCUAAAAGGUGUCAGUUCAGUAUUACUGUAUACGAGAGACAAUUGUUCUAUUUCUGUCCAUAGUCUGAAAUAAUUUUCAUUUGGAUUGCUGAAGGUCCUUCUUUGCUGAAUGGGACCUUUGUGUAAUGCUAAAAGGAAUAAUCUGUUUAAUGUUCUGUUUCCC
Lonchura striata (white-rumped munia) is the source of this 853-nucleotide non-coding RNA. Lineage: Eukaryota; Metazoa; Chordata; Aves; Passeriformes; Estrildidae. The record is from RefSeq and is a predicted model, not a curated record.